AAGCAGGGAAAAGCUCUUGGCUGGCAGAAGAAAUGAAAAGAUAAAAGUGCUGGCAGCCACCCAGACAUCUCUGCACCAGCAAAAGCUGCAUCAGAUCCUUCAGGCCAAGUGGAGACGCAGCCUGGGGACAGCAAAGCUUCUGGAGCAGGCAAUGGGUGAUGACAAGAGUUGUGUCGCUUUCCCUGACCAACCUCCCUUGAUGCUGGAGCACUCUGUCAUAUCAGCUGGAAUUCACACGUUUGGGACAACCACAAACAUCCGUUGUUAUUGUUUUCCAGCCUCUCUGUUUUAUGGGAAGCGUCUUGUCAACGGGACUAUAAACACUUUGAAGCUUUUGUGUGUAGUUGGUGAACAAGGGGGCUCGUUGGAUACAAAAGAGAACAACUUCAUCUUCCCCCGCUGCCGGUUCACACCUGCCAAGAUGCUCCAGCUCCACCCUUGGACCAAAUCUAAGGGCGAAAUAUGACUUUCCUGGCUUCUCUCUCCACCUGGGAUUAAAAUGUCGACUCUCCUGUAAUAGUCAAAACCCCAAAGUUACAGCUUUUCCCCACCCCACCCCAGCUCCUGGUGGGGAGGGGCUGGGACACCGUUUCUCCGCGGGUGCGUCCUCAGCUUGCUGGCUGUAGUCUCCAGGAUGGCAGCCGGGCUGGAAGAAGACACAACAAGGGGACAUCUGCGUUUUACGUGGACUGGGAGGUUGUGCGCUGGCAUCGCUGCUCCCCAGGCUCAGCAGGUAUUUCAAGCUUAUCACACCAGGCGCUUUGGAGAAGCGCUCACACCUGCUGACCUUCUGAUUCCAGGGGCAACACCUUCUCUGGCUGGUCUUCUGUCAUCUGUAAUUCCACCCCGGCCCUCAGAGAUCAGACCCCUUCCUCUGAGGUUGCCUUCCUCCUCCAGGCGCCUGUUGCGAAGAUCUAAGACUCUCCAAGACCCACACCUGCUCCCCAGAACCUCCCACCUUAGACUGGCUGUCAGGGAAAGGAUGUCACCGCCAGGGGCCACAUAGCCAGGCGCCCCCUCCCCACCUUUAGAUUUCUCAGGUGGGAGUUGAGCCCCAGGCCAUUUCGUCCCUGGCCCUGGGGGACAAGUGCCUGCUCCCUGAGUCCUCUCCAUAAAGGUCCUUCCAGUCAGCUGGGGGUGAGGGAGAGGCAAGCCCCUGCUCCUCCACGCCUGGGUGAUGCUCACGAGACACCCACCACUGAAACACCUUCUUUCCCUAACCUCAAAUGUGCUGCAUUUUCUUACUUCCUCAAAACAGUUAUUGAGCUAAUCGCUGCAAACUGUCACUUGCCUCUUCCUUUGCGUGUUCGUCCAGUCGUCCACACCCCCUCUGGAGUGGGAAUGGUGGCCUCUAAAGACUGGGCCCGAAACUGAAAUGGAUCCCAGGCCCCAUUUGGACGUCCGAUGACACAUGUCUUUAAGGACCAAAACACUGAGAGCAAAGCCAGGAUUUCUUUUUCUUGUCUUUAAGAGUUUUGCUUAAUAUUAAGUCUA
Long non-coding RNA from Equus quagga, 1494 nucleotides. RefSeq lists it as uncharacterized. The record is from RefSeq and is a predicted model, not a curated record. NCBI's taxonomy places the organism in Eukaryota, Metazoa, Chordata, Mammalia, Perissodactyla, Equidae. The transcript is spliced from 3 exons.